Molecule: ribosomal RNA, 367 nt
Filed under: uncultured Oscillospiraceae bacterium
Lineage: Bacteria; Bacillati; Bacillota; Clostridia; Eubacteriales; Oscillospiraceae
Description: bacterial SSU rRNA
Rfam family: Bacterial small subunit ribosomal RNA
Source: RNAcentral
GAUAAACGCUGGCGGCGCACAUAAGACAUGCAAGUCGAACGGAAGUCGUUAUAAUGAUUUCAAUAUGGAUUUGAAGAUUUAUCUGAUAUGAAGUUGAGAAUGAUUUAUAACAAUGGCUUUAGUGGCGGACUGGUGAGUAACGCGUAAGCAAUCUGCCUAUUAGAGGGGAAUAACAGUGAGAAAUCAUUGCUAAUACCGCAUAUGCCAUAAUCAUCGCAUGAUGAUAGUGGGAAAGGAGCAAUCCGCUAAUAGAUGAGCUUGCGUCUGAUUAGCUAGUUGGUGGGGUAACGGCCUACCAAGGCGACGAUCAGUAGCCGGACUGAGAGGUUGAACGGCCACAUUGGGACUGAGAUACGGCCCAGACUCC